Molecule: long non-coding RNA, 357 nt
Organism: Etheostoma cragini (Arkansas darter)
Lineage: Eukaryota; Metazoa; Chordata; Actinopteri; Perciformes; Percidae
Exons: 4
Source: RefSeq, a predicted model, not a curated record
ACACACACACACACACACACACACACACACACACACACACACACACACACACACACACACACACACACACAGUGCAUCUCACUAUCUUUGAGGGGACCCACCAUUGACAUAAUGGAUUCCCUAGUCACUGACACUAACCUUAACCAUCACAACUAAAUGCCUGACCUAAACCCUCACCCCCACCCUAACCACAACCUGAUUCUAACCCUGAUCCUAAAACCAAGUCUUAUUCCUCAAACAGCCCUUUAAAGUUGUGGGGUCCAGCAUUUUGGCCCCACAAAUCUGUCCGGACCCCACAAGUAUACUGCAUUCCCGGUGGUUGGACCCCACGAAUGUAAAUGCCUAAUCUUAACCCUU